RNAcentral lists this non-coding RNA (46 nucleotides) under human gut metagenome. RNAcentral's name for it is "uup RNA". It matches the Rfam family "uup RNA". The record is from RNAcentral.
GAAACUUAGCUCUGUACAAUUCAUGCCGAUGAAACAUUGUGCAGAG